UAUUUAUUAAAAUCAUUAAAAAUAGCAUAAAUUUUACUCCUGAGACAAUCCAAAGACCCUUUUGUGAUUCAACUCUGCAAGAAACCCUUUCUUCGAUUCAUCUUGAAAAACCCAUAAACCCUUUCUUCGAUUCAACCUCCUUCAUUCACGAUUUCUCGCCGCUGUUCCUUUCAUGAUUUCACGCAUCUCCUCCGUUCGUGAUCUCUGUUCACGACCACUAUCCUUCACAAACUUCGUCGUUCACCACCGUCUCUGUUCACCGCUCUUCUCCGACGGCAGCAGUGCGAUUCCUUGUGGCCACGACGAUGAAAGUCUUCUUUGUGUGCGUAGGACUAAGGAUCACUUCUCUGGCUUUGUAAAAAACCUUUGUGUAUUGCAUCAAAGAAACAUGCUAAUAAAAUUGGUUGUGAAGGAAGAUGCAAGGUCAGAUUUGGGGCUAGGCUAAGAGACUCUAAAAUUCAUGUAGCUGACUAUGAGUAGGCAAAUCUUCAAUAUAUUUACUUCCAAUGGAUAUUCUGGGUGAAGGAAGAUCUCAAAAAUGGAAGUGCAUCAUGAUCGGUCUGUUUGUUCAUAUAACAUCUUCUAUGGCUUGUUAUGGGGAGAAAGGUUGAGACAACCAAGAAACAGGAUAAGAUUGCUUGCUAAGAAGAUUUUGAUGUUUCUGUUGACUAUUUGUAACUGAAAGAGAUAUUUUAUCAUUUGUAACUUCUUAGAGAUUAGAGAUGGCAGAGAAUCAUUUGUAUCUUUUAUGUUAUAUAUAACAAUUACCUACAUUUUAUGAUA
This is a long non-coding RNA of Medicago truncatula (barrel medic), 783 nucleotides long. RefSeq lists it as uncharacterized. The transcript is spliced from 4 exons. NCBI's taxonomy places the organism in Eukaryota, Viridiplantae, Streptophyta, Magnoliopsida, Fabales, Fabaceae. The record is from RefSeq and is a predicted model, not a curated record.